Molecule: ribosomal RNA, 119 nt
Filed under: Pteropus alecto (black flying fox)
Lineage: Eukaryota; Metazoa; Chordata; Mammalia; Chiroptera; Pteropodidae
Source: RNAcentral
GUCUAUGGCCAUGCUACCCUGAACAAGCUGGAUCCCGUCUGAUCUCAGAAGCUAAACAGGAUUGGGCCUGGUUAGUACUUGGAUGAGAGACCACCUAGGAAGACCAGGUGCUAUACGUG